This 253-nucleotide ribosomal RNA is filed under the name uncultured bacterium. RNAcentral's name for it is "partial 16S ribosomal RNA". It matches the Rfam family "Bacterial small subunit ribosomal RNA", at positions 524 to 776 of the family's 1533-position model. The record is from RNAcentral.
UACAGAGGUCCCAAGCGUUGUUCGGAUUCACUGGGCGUAAAGGGUGCGUAGGUGGCGUGGUAAGUUUGAUGUGAAAGCUCAGGGCUUAACCCUGAAAUGGCAUUGAAUACUACCAUGCUGGAGGUUUGGAGGGGGGACUGGAAUUCUUGGUGUAGCAGUGAAAUGCGUAGAUAUCAAGAGGAACACCAGUGGCGAAGGCGAGUCCCUGGACAACACCUGACACUGAGGCACGAAAGCCGGGGGAGCAAACAGG